RNAcentral lists this transfer RNA (74 nucleotides) under Schistocerca americana (American grasshopper). RNAcentral describes it as "tRNA-Ile". It matches the Rfam family "tRNA". Rfam says of the family: Transfer RNA (tRNA) molecules are approximately 80 nucleotides in length. Their secondary structure includes four short double-helical elements and three loops (D, anti-codon, and T loops). Further hydrogen bonds mediate the characteristic L-shaped molecular structure. tRNAs have two regions of fundamental functional importance: the anti-codon, which is responsible for specific mRNA codon recognition, and the 3' end, to which the tRNAs corresponding amino acid is attached (by aminoacyl-tRNA synthetases). tRNAs cope with the degeneracy of the genetic code in two manners: having more than one tRNA (with a specific anti-codon) for a particular amino acid; and 'wobble' base-pairing, i.e. permitting non-standard base-pairing at the 3rd anti-codon position. The record is from RNAcentral. Lineage: Eukaryota; Metazoa; Arthropoda; Insecta; Orthoptera; Acrididae.
GGCCCGUUAGCACAGUUGGUUAGAGCGUCGUGCUAAUAACGCGAAGGUCGUGGGUUCGAUCCCCCCACGGGCCA